UGAGCAAUCUGCCCUUCUCAUCGGAAUAAGCGUUGGAAACGACGUCUAAUGCCGAAUACGACCUCCUUUCGCAUGAUCGGAGGUGGAAAGCUCCGGCGGAGAAGGAUGAGCUCGCGGCCUAUCAGCUAGUUGGUGUGGGUAAUGGCCCACCAAGGCGACGAUCAGUAGCUGGUCUGAGAGGAUGAUCAGCCUCACUGGGACUGAGACCAGGCCCAG
RNAcentral lists this ribosomal RNA (216 nucleotides) under uncultured bacterium. RNAcentral describes it as "partial 16S ribosomal RNA". It matches the Rfam family "Bacterial small subunit ribosomal RNA", at positions 118 to 334 of the family's 1533-position model. The record is from RNAcentral.